RNAcentral lists this ribosomal RNA (722 nucleotides) under uncultured bacterium. RNAcentral describes it as "bacterial SSU rRNA". It matches the Rfam family "Bacterial small subunit ribosomal RNA", at positions 8 to 722 of the family's 1533-position model. The record is from RNAcentral.
AGAGUUUGAUCAUGGCUCAGAUUGAACGCUGGCGGCAUGCCUUACACAUGCAAGUCGAACGCGAAAGUAGGGGCAACCCUGCGAGUAGAGUGGCGAACGGGUGAGUAAUACAUCGGAACGUACCCAGGAGUGGGGGACAACCUCGAGAAAUCGAGGCUAAUACCGCAUACGUCCUGAGGGAGAAAGCGGGGGAUUCGCAAGGACCUCGCGCUCAUGGAGCGGCCGAUGUCGGAUUAGCUAGUUGGCGGGGUAAAAGCCCACCAAGGCUACGAUCCGUAGCUGGUUUGAGAGAACGACCAGCCACACUGGGACUGAGACACGGCCCAGACUCCUACGGGAGGCAGCAGUGGGGAAUUUUGGACAAUGGGCGCAAGCCUGAUCCAGCCAUGCCGCGUGAGUGAAGAAGGCCUUCGGGUUGUAAAGCUCUUUCGGCCGGAACGAAAUCGCGUACGUGAAUAACGUGCGUGGAUGACGGUACUGGAAGAAGAAGCACCGGCUAACUACGUGCCAGCAGCCGCGGUAAUACGUAGGGUGCGAGCGUUAAUCGGAAUUACUGGGCGUAAAGCGUGCGUAGGCGGUUUCGUAAGUCAGAUGUGAAAUCCCCGGGCUUAACCUGGGAACUGCGUUUGAAACUACGGAGCUAGAGUACGGCAGAGGGGGGUGGAAUUCCACGUGUAGCAGUGAAAUGCGUAGAUAUGUGGAGGAACACCGAUGGCGAAGGC